UGGAUGUCCCAGUAAGGGGCCAUAAUGCUGCAGCUGUCCACUUUUGGGUGGUACCUGCAUAUUGUACAAAACCAUCUGUAAAACAGGCCCAGGUCUUCUCUUCCUCUGUCAGCUGACCAUAGAGCACUCCCCAUGAGGUGCAGGCUGGGAGAGAGAAGGCAGUGUAGCAGGAGUGGGCACCAUGGAAUUUUAGCCACUUCUUCAUGUAACUUACUUAUGCUUUCAGGGCCUACUCAGGCCCAGUCACAUAUAUACCACUUCCACUUGAUGAUGGAGUGUUUCUGUGCACACUUAACUUUAUGGCUUAGUCAGCCAGAUAACACCUGGUUUAUGAUGGGCAGCUCAGGUCACAUGGUAACUUGGUGGCCUAUGGUUAAGCAUUCAGUCUCUACAAAGGCCCGAUAGCAGGGCACGAGCUCAUUCUCAAAAGGGGAGUAGUUAUCUGCAGAGGAUGGCAGGGCUUUGCUCCAAACCCAAAGGGCCUGCACUGCGAUUCAGCUAUAGGAGCCUGCCUAAGACUCCAAACAGCAUCCCUAUCUGCCACUGAUACUUCCAGAAUCAUCGCAUCUGCUGGAUCACAUGGCCCAAGUGGCAGCACCAUUUGCACAACAGCCUGGACUGUUGCAGAGGCUUCUCUUGUUCUGGGCCCCACCCAAAACUAGCAGCUUUUGAGUCACUCAGCAAACGGGCCUGAGUAACUCACCCCAGGAGGAAUAUGUUGCCUCUAAAAUCCAAAAAGGCCCACUACAUAUUGUAUUUCUUUUUUGGUUGUAGGAGUGUCUAGAGGCAACAACUUAUUCCUCACCUUAGAAGGGGUAUCUCGAUGUGCUCCUCAUCUCUGGACCCCUAGAAAUUUCACUGAGGUAGAAGGCUCUUGAUUUUGGUUGGAUUUAUUUCCCACACUUUGAUAUGCAAAUGUAUUACCAAUAAGUCUAGAGCAAUUGUUACGUCUUGUUCACUAGGUCCAAUAAGCAUAAUGUCAUCAGUGUCAUGGACCAUUGUGAUAUUUUGUGGAUGGGAAAGAUGAUCAAGAUCAUAGUAGAUUAUGACAUAGGGCUUGAGAGUUGAUAAACCCCCAAGGUAGGACAGUGAAGGUGUAUUGCUGGCCUUGCCAGCUGAAAGCAAACUGCUUCUGAUGGGUGUUAUGGACAAGGAUGGGGAAAAAGGCAUUUACCAGAUCAAUAGCUGCUUACCAGAAAAUCUGCAAAGUCUCGUAGCCAGAGCAUGCGCAAAAGAAGAAAUCUUGACCUGAAGAGACCAUGGAAUCAAAGAUCUUUCUUCCCAUGGAACCCAAGGACUGGAACACAACCAGAACUUGAAAGUCAGACUCUUAUCAGAGUAGCAAAAUAGCCCCUGGGAGUCCUCUCUCCAUAAGACGUGCCCUAAAGAGUUCUCUCCUCAACACCCUGCCCCUUGAUCUGCCUCAUUCAUUUUCCUGGUCUGCACUAAGGAUGCGUGAGUUGAAGAAUCUCUUCUUUAUUGUGAAGAAAACUGGCUGUGUUUGCUGAGUUCUCACUGUUCGCCUGGAGCUGGUAGAAGAGCAUCUAAAGCUGACUCUUCCCUCUACCCUGGAGGAGAGAAGAACAAUGGCGUUCAUUCACCUAAGACCCUGGAAGUCUUCAAAAAUAGACUCAAGGAGGGACGUGGGACUUGCUGACUUCUGAGGGAGGGCAGUAUAUCCAGGAAAAUGAGGAGACAGAGAUUUCAGAAAGAUGGAAGGGCAAAAGCAGAGAGACAGAUGAAGAGGGAAUAAGGACCGUGUUAGAGUGUGUAAGGGGGCAACACCCUGAAGGUCUGGGCAGGGUGUGAACUUGCUCUUUGAUUAGGCAACAGGAGUGAGGUGCCUG
Equus caballus (horse) is the source of this 1847-nucleotide long non-coding RNA. The record is from Ensembl. Lineage: Eukaryota; Metazoa; Chordata; Mammalia; Perissodactyla; Equidae.